CUUUGACCCCUUUCCUCCUUUAGAUGGAAGACUCUCCAUUUCUUCUUUUUCUAAACGUUCACGUUCAGCUUUCCUCUCCAACGCAGCUUUUCGUUUUUCAGCUUCUUGCUCCUUUUUAUUAGUUUUGACGCCCUUGGACCAUUUUUCGUCUUCUUCAGCGUCUUUUUUUUUCUUUUCCUCGUCUUGUUUUCUAGAUUUUGCCGCUUCGGCCUUUUCUGCUCUCUUUUUUGGAUUCCCCAUAUCAAGGCUAUUAAUGGUAUGUGAGAUUUGAAUGACUUGAACAACAGGUGAUUUCUAUAUGCCGCCUCGUUAUAAGAAAGGCGACGAAGGAUGGAUUAAUAAUCUGAUCUGAUAAUUUUUAUAAGUGAAUGUCUCGUUAUAUCUCCCUAUUUUUAUCAGUGUAUUUACAAAGGUGUAUUGAUAACACUGAACAAACGGCGUCAAACGUUGGUAUGUAACUGAAUUUUUAUCACUAAAAUAGAAAAUAAAAGUUCUUAAUUGGAAAUCUGCUACUAUUUAUUUCCUUAAAUGCCUUGAUGCAGGCUAAGGGUAUAUUGAAUGGUAUAGACACUGCAUAAUACACCAUAAAUCCUUUUUAUGACAUGAUGGCAUUCUUAACAGUGAUAACUCAUUAAAAAGAGAAACAAAGUCAACCGAUGUAAAUUGAUCAUACUCUUCAAUUACAAUAUUAU
Non-coding RNA from Schizosaccharomyces pombe (fission yeast), 692 nucleotides. NCBI's taxonomy places the organism in Eukaryota, Fungi, Ascomycota, Schizosaccharomycetes, Schizosaccharomycetales, Schizosaccharomycetaceae. The record is from the annotation of a GenBank genome assembly.